Molecule: long non-coding RNA, 289 nt
Filed under: Mus pahari (shrew mouse)
Lineage: Eukaryota; Metazoa; Chordata; Mammalia; Rodentia; Muridae
Description: lncRNA (MGP_PahariEiJ_G0003856.1)
Source: RNAcentral
AACAUUAGCUUUCCUCACCACCUACCUCCAUCGUGAAGGGAAGGAAGGCUCUGGGCACCCGCCGGCCUCCCAUCUGGGCCCGCAUUUUCGAACCGCCCCCGAAGUGGCUUUGAAGCAGGGAACCCCGACUUUAAGCGAUCAGGUGUUGAAGCCCGACAGAUGCAGACCGAGGCGAUCCGCGGCGCCCUCUACUGGUCACCAAUAGAAAUGUAUCUCUACAGCCUUGGGGAAGCUUUGCAAGUAAUUGGGUCAUGGAAAGAAAGACUGAUCUGUUGAGGCUGUUUUGUGA